This 900-nucleotide long non-coding RNA is filed under the name Heterocephalus glaber (naked mole-rat). Its description in RNAcentral is "lncRNA (ENSHGLG00000026847.2)". The record is from RNAcentral. Lineage: Eukaryota; Metazoa; Chordata; Mammalia; Rodentia; Bathyergidae.
CAGCUCCCCAUGACGAAUGCGGUCACCAGCACUGCACACAUAAAACACUUGUUCUUUUACGUCAAGUUCUCGCGCUUUGGGUGUGAUUUUGUUAUCUUUUUAAAAAGUGGAUGUAUUCAAAGACAAAGUUAGGCACCACACCGGAAUAUAAAUAAGCCCAUUCAGGGAUAUGUAAGCAUGGAUACACACGAAACAAGCAAAAAUCCAAAAUGGAAGCUGGGAAAUUUCUCUCAGAAAAACCAUUCUCUGCAGUCACCUUAUUGACCUAGGCAUCUACGCCAGAAGCUGGACAUUCUUCAACAUCGACAUGCAAGUCAUGCCAGGAUAGCGCUCUGCUCUUGUGGUCCAGUGGCGACAUGGCAGUUCAGGCCACCUCGUGUCACCUGGCUCACUGAGGAAAGAAACAGUUCAACAGACAGGAGCCCAAGAAAAGACACAUAGAUGGUUCCGCACACACACAGCUGCUUUCCAUGCCUGGGUGCAUCCCACACUCUGAACGGAGCCUACCUCAGCAGUGUGAUACCAGCCAUCACAGGCAGGGCAGCCCAUCUUCCAGGAGCACCUCUCAAGUGUCGCCUGCUAGAGGGAGGCUGCUUCACAACAGUGCGAUGGCAUCAGAGCUGUGAGGAGGAGGAAAAGACUGAAGCACAAGCCUCGGCAUGGAAGUUUCCACUAAGCAUUGGGAGCUGGCCAGGCUUUCCUCAGGUGUGAUACGGGACCGGAUGGAUCUUCAGUGCCUGCAGAGACAGUGAGGUCAAUGUGGAAAGAGCUCUCUAACCUACAAUGGACCACAAAAUGUGGAUUCCAGGGCACUCGUGUUAGGGUGUAAAUACCUGUGGUUAGAGCCAGAAGAGACCUCAGACCCAAUCAUGCCAAACCCUCACAUCAGAUGUGGCGGGG